RNAcentral lists this transfer RNA (93 nucleotides) under Chloroflexota bacterium. RNAcentral describes it as "tRNA-Ser". It matches the Rfam family "tRNA". Rfam says of the family: Transfer RNA (tRNA) molecules are approximately 80 nucleotides in length. Their secondary structure includes four short double-helical elements and three loops (D, anti-codon, and T loops). Further hydrogen bonds mediate the characteristic L-shaped molecular structure. tRNAs have two regions of fundamental functional importance: the anti-codon, which is responsible for specific mRNA codon recognition, and the 3' end, to which the tRNAs corresponding amino acid is attached (by aminoacyl-tRNA synthetases). tRNAs cope with the degeneracy of the genetic code in two manners: having more than one tRNA (with a specific anti-codon) for a particular amino acid; and 'wobble' base-pairing, i.e. permitting non-standard base-pairing at the 3rd anti-codon position. Lineage: Bacteria; Bacillati; Chloroflexota. The record is from RNAcentral.
GGAGGGAUCGCAUAGUGGUCUAGUGCGGGCGCCUGCUAAGCGCUUACCCCUGAAAAAUUGGGAUCGUGGGUUCGAAUCCCACUCCCUCCGCCA